GAUGAAGAACGUAGCGAAAUGCGAUAAGUAAUGUGAAUUGCAGAAUUCAGUGAAUCAUCGAAUCUUUGAACGCACAUUGCGCCCGCCAGUAUUCUGGCGGGCAUGCCUGUUCGAGCGUCAUUUCAACCCUCAGGCCCCCAGUGCCUGGUGUUGGGGAUCGGCCCAGCCUUCCUGUAAGGCCGCCGGCCCCGAAAUCUAGUGGCGGUCUCGCUGUAGUCCUCCUCUGCGUAGUAGCACAACCUCGCAGUUGGAACGCGGCGGUGGCCAUGCCGUUAAACACCCCACUUCUGAAAGUUGACCUCGGAUCAGGUAGGCAUACCCGCUGAACUUAAGCAUAUCAAUAAGCGGAGGA
This 352-nucleotide unclassified non-coding RNA is filed under the name soil metagenome. Its description in RNAcentral is "partial contains 5.8S ribosomal RNA, internal transcribed spacer 2, and large subunit ribosomal RNA". The stretch from base 1 to 120 matches the Rfam family "5.8S ribosomal RNA", at positions 35 to 154 of the family's 154-position model. The record is from RNAcentral.